Molecule: long non-coding RNA, 365 nt
Organism: Triticum aestivum (bread wheat)
Lineage: Eukaryota; Viridiplantae; Streptophyta; Magnoliopsida; Poales; Poaceae
Exons: 3
Source: RefSeq, a predicted model, not a curated record
UUGCCUUGUUUUCCCCUGCCGGCGAUUGGGGGCGGCGAGUACACGCAGGAAGCCCAUGCGGUGGCAGAUCUGCUGGACAGAGCAGCCGAGUCCAGCAUUGGGAAGGUGGGGGAAGCGCUGCCAGUACUCCAACUAGACCUGAAUGGCGCCUGCCCGUCUCUCGACUUGUCGGCGGCAGAUCAGAGCAGUCAACGAGGCACGACGAGCCGCAGGCCCAUGGCUGGAUAAAGAGGCCAUUUUCAAGGACCCGUUCAGGAGGGGUGACAACCUCCUUGUUAUGUGCGACUGCUACACACCAGAAGGUGUUCCAAUCCCCACCAACAAGAGGCACAAUGCUGCCAAGAUCUUCCACACCCCGAAGGUUG